UACGAAGGGGGCUAGCGUUGCUCGGAAUCACUGGGCGUAAAGCGCACGUAGGCGGAUCCUUAAGUCGGGGGUGAAAUCCUGGAGCUCAACUCCAGAACUGCCUUCGAUACUGAGGAUCUCGAGUCCGGGAGAGGUGAGUGGAACUGUGAGUGUAGAGGUGAAAUUCGUAGAUAUUCGCAAGAACACCAGUGGCGAAGGCGGCUCACUGGCCCGGUACUGACGCUGAGGUGCGAAAGCGUGGGGAGCAAACAGG
This 253-nucleotide ribosomal RNA is filed under the name uncultured bacterium. RNAcentral's name for it is "partial 16S ribosomal RNA". It matches the Rfam family "Bacterial small subunit ribosomal RNA", at positions 524 to 776 of the family's 1533-position model. The record is from RNAcentral.